GCCAAGAUGGCCGAGCGGUCUAAGGCUCCAGUUUCAGGUACUACUGGUCCGAAAGGGCGUGAGUUUUAAUCCCACUCUUGACA
Molecule: transfer RNA, 83 nt
Filed under: Salvia splendens (bonfire salvia)
Lineage: Eukaryota; Viridiplantae; Streptophyta; Magnoliopsida; Lamiales; Lamiaceae
Description: tRNA-Leu
Rfam family: tRNA
About the family: Transfer RNA (tRNA) molecules are approximately 80 nucleotides in length. Their secondary structure includes four short double-helical elements and three loops (D, anti-codon, and T loops). Further hydrogen bonds mediate the characteristic L-shaped molecular structure. tRNAs have two regions of fundamental functional importance: the anti-codon, which is responsible for specific mRNA codon recognition, and the 3' end, to which the tRNAs corresponding amino acid is attached (by aminoacyl-tRNA synthetases). tRNAs cope with the degeneracy of the genetic code in two manners: having more than one tRNA (with a specific anti-codon) for a particular amino acid; and 'wobble' base-pairing, i.e. permitting non-standard base-pairing at the 3rd anti-codon position.
Source: RNAcentral